AUGGUAACCGUACCAUCCCUCCUGCUCCUCCUCCUCCUCCCCUGCUGCCUCCUGCACCGCGCGGCCGCCCAUGAGGGGCAGCUUCUCAUCCGGAUCAAGGGCGCGUGGGGCAACCCGCCCGUGCUGGCGGCAUGGAACAGAUCCAGCGACCACUGCACCUGGCCCUACGUGACCUGCGACGCUUCCUCCGGGCGGGUCACGAGCCUCUCCCUCGCCAACGCCGGUGUCGCUGGCCCAUUCCCGGACGCCAUCGGCGGCCUCUCCAGCCUCACCAGCCUCAACCUCUCCAACAACCACAUCACCGGCGCCUUCCCGACCAGCGUCUACCGGUGCACUUCGCUUCGGCACCUCGAUUUGUCACUUACCUGCCUCCACGGCGAGCUCCCUGCCGACAUCGGCAACGGCGUGCCGCUGCUGCAGACGAUGAACUUGUCAGGUAACCAGAUCUCUGGCGAGAUCCCGAGGAGCGUAGCCAAGCUCCGCUUGCUGAUGCACUUGGACCUGAGCAAGAAUCAGCUCGCCGGCGAGAUACCGGCUGAAUUGGGCGCCAUGCGGGUGCUCAACGCACUUGACCUAUCGUCAAACAAGCUAUCCGCGACAUACCGCCACCGCUUGCCAAGCUAA
Molecule: ribosomal RNA, 624 nt
Filed under: Triticum aestivum (bread wheat)
Lineage: Eukaryota; Viridiplantae; Streptophyta; Magnoliopsida; Poales; Poaceae
Description: partial small subunit ribosomal RNA
Source: RNAcentral